UCCGGUUUGUCACCGGCAGUCUCCUAUGAGUCCCCAACUAAAUGCUGGCAACAUAGGACGGGGGUUGCGCUCGUUGCGGGACUUAACCCAACAUCUCACGACACGAGCUGACGACAGCCAUGCAGCACCUGUCUCCGGUCCAGCCGAACUGAAGAACUCCGUCUCUGGAGUCCGCGACCGGGAUGUCAAGGGCUGGUAAGGUUCUGCGCGUUGCGUCGAAUUAAACCACAUGCUCCACCGCUUGUACGGGCCCCCGUCAAUUCCUUUGAGUUUUAAUCUUGCGACCGUACCCCCCAGGCGGGAUGCUUAAUGCGUUAGCUGCGCCACUGACGAGUAAACCCGCCAACGGCUAGCAUCCAUCGUUUACGGCGUGGACUAC
Molecule: unclassified non-coding RNA, 379 nt
Filed under: uncultured Alphaproteobacteria bacterium
Lineage: Bacteria; Pseudomonadati; Pseudomonadota; Alphaproteobacteria
Description: contains 16S-23S intergenic spacer region
Source: RNAcentral